RNAcentral lists this ribosomal RNA (301 nucleotides) under uncultured bacterium. RNAcentral describes it as "partial 16S ribosomal RNA". It matches the Rfam family "Bacterial small subunit ribosomal RNA", at positions 509 to 809 of the family's 1533-position model. The record is from RNAcentral.
CAGUCGCCACGGGAAUACAGAGGGUGCGAGCGUUAAUCGGAUUUACUGGGCGUAAAGCGUGCGUAGGCGGCUUCUUAAGUCGGAUGUGAAAUCCCUGAGCUUAACUUAAGAAUUGCAUUCGAUACUGGGAAGCUAGAGUAUGGGAGAGGAUGGUAGAAUUCCAGGUGUAGCGGUGAAAUGCGUAGAGAUCUGGAGGAAUACCGAUGGCGAAGGCAGCCAUCUGGCCUAAUACUGACGCUGAGGUACGAAAGCAUGGGGAGCAAACAGGAUUAGAUACCCCCGUAGUCCCUGUCUCUUAUAU